GAUGAACGCUGGCGGUGUGCCUAAUACAUGCAAGUCGAGCGGUAAGGUCUCUUCGGAGAUACACGAGCGGCGGACGGGUGAGUAACGCGUAAGAAUGUACCCCAAAGUGAGGGAUAAGCACCAGAAAUGGUGUCUAAUACCGCAUGUGCUCUUCGGAGUAAAGCUUCGGCGCUUUGGGAACAGCUUGCGUAUGAUUAGCUAGUUGGUAAGGUAAUGGCUUACCAAGGCGACGAUCAUUAGCGGGUCUGAGAGGAUGAUCCGCCACACUGGGACUGAGACACGGCCCAGACUCCUACGGGAGGCAGCAGUAGGGAAUUUUCCACAAUGGGGGCAACCCUGAUGGAGCAACACCGCGUGCAGGAUGAAGGCCUUCGGGUUGUAAACUGCUUUUGUCUGUGACGAAUAUGACGGUAGCAGACGAAUAAGGAUCGGCUAACUACGUGCCAGCCGCCGCGGUAA
RNAcentral lists this ribosomal RNA (459 nucleotides) under uncultured bacterium. RNAcentral's name for it is "partial 16S ribosomal RNA". It matches the Rfam family "Bacterial small subunit ribosomal RNA", at positions 28 to 523 of the family's 1533-position model. The record is from RNAcentral.